ACUAAACAAGGCCUAGGAUGCCCAUUGCAAGCGGUCACCAAGCAAGCCAAACAGGCUGACCACGCAGAACGCAGGUCGUCUACAUACGUCGCGCUCCUGUUAUCUGUGCGCAUGUGCUGGUGCAGAAUUGAUAGGUUUGGUCAGUCUAUGAAUAAAAAGCCCAGUACCCCAGAGUUAUUGGCUGCUACCAGCUGAUUCAGACGUGUCACAUCCAAGUUGCUCCUGAUACAAGACAUGCGAGUCACUCCAAAAAUUUAAAACUUUUUAAGAUUCUCCGUCACAUCGAAUUUUACGGUACAUGUAUGAGACACUAAAUAGAGACGAAAAUAAAAACUAAUUGCACAGUAUACCUGUAAAUCGCAAGAUGAAUCUUUUAAGCCUAAUUACUCUAUGAUUGAACAAUGUUUGUCAAAUAAACACGAAAAUGCUAUAGUUCCGAAAACAAAAAUGUUUUCAGAACUAAGGUUAACUGCGUGCCCUAACCCUUUUGAAUUAAAGUGACAGAUGAAUAAUUGAUCUUUAACGGUCCAUGGACUACUCAACAUCAUCCAUACCAUGCAAGCGUUUUACCAAACAGGACCUACUACGUAACGUUUGCACUGAAUCAGUCACAAAAGGACGCCACACAGCGUAUAGUAGGUCCUGUGUGCAUGGCGCGCGGUGAACAUUCCAGUGGGCUUCUUCUUGCUCCGAUCCCUGUGACACACACACCUGCUGGUUCUUCUACAUAAACACUAGCAGGGGCUCGAUCGCCUCCGGUGAUACACGAACAGAACAAAUUGAGUACGUACCUUGCAGUGCAAAGCCAGCAGUCACACCUUCGCCAUUGGCGACGCAGGCUCGCCUCCGGUAAUAACAUAUGUCGCCAUCGCUGCUGCUGCUGCUGCUGCUCGUUGCAGCGACGGCGGCGUCUGCCACCGCGGAUAACAGCAGUAGCGUGUCCGCGAUGGCAGGCUGCCAGCGGAGCUGCGGAGGCGUUGACAUACCCUACCCGUUCGGCAUGGGCGACGACGCCUGCUUCCGCCAAGGCUUCGAGAUCCGCUGCAUGAACAACGGCAGCGCCGCCACCGGCGGUGAAAUUCCGGUGCUAGCGGGGACCAACCAGACGAUCCCAGUGCUGAACCUGACCGUGGCGCCGCCUGAGGUCCGCGUGCUCCUGCCGGUGGCAUGGCAGUGCUUCGACUCCGCCGGCAAUAGAACAGGGUUCUACACCGGCAACGUCAACUUCAACGACGCCGGCGUGUACCGCAUCUCCAACGUCUCCAACGAGCUCUACGUGCUCGGCUGCAACACCUUGAUCUAUGUCAAGGGCGGCAAGAACCUGCGCGGCGCUAGCCGAUUCAACUACAAGUUCUACGCCGGCUGCGUGUCUGUGACCAACGACCCUGACGACCCGCAGGACGGUGCCUGCGCGGGCCUCGGCUGCUGCCGCGUCGACAUCCCGCCGGGGCUCACGGACACCUCCAUGACCAUGUACGGUGGCACCGGCGACUGGUCGCACGCCCAGCAGGAGUUCUGCCCCUGCGACUAUGCCUUCGUCGUGGAGAAGGGCAACUACAGCUUCAAGGCAUCCGACCUGACGGCACACGCGCCGGCGACGAGUAACCAGACCCCGACCCAGACCACGGCGCCGCCGCUGCAGGUGGACUGGAGCAUGCCGCUCCGCCUCGACUGGGCCAUCCGCGUCCGCGACAAUAAUGGCAGCUCCAUCACCUGCGCUCAGGCAGCAAGCAAGCCAGGGUACGCCUGUGUGAGCAACCACAGCGAGUGCGUCAACUCAACCAACGGCCCUGGCUACUUCUGCAACUGUACCAAAGGCUACGAGGGUAACCCCUACGUUGACGGUGAAGCUCGUGGAGGAUGCACUAGUAAGUAGCAGUGACCUAGCUAGCUUGUAACAAUUUUACAUAUGAUGAUCGUCUGACUAAUUUUUUUUAUUAAGGUCCCCAAAAUUGACUUUUCUCUAUACUAAGUAUACUUAUCAUUCUCGAACCGAGAGAGUACAUUAUUACAAUUCCAAAGCAAACUGCUACUCAAGAGGUUCUUAUUUGAAAACUUAAUGUUCUUAUUUGAACAAUUCUGUAGCAAAUACUACAAAAAACUUCUAUUCUACAUGCAAAUCUAGUCAUGCAUAAUGCAUAUUCACUGAUUAUAUAUAUAUGCAGAUAUCAAUGAAUGCCAAAAGCCAGAGUUGAAUUCUUGUCCAAGUGGAAGCAAAUGCAUUGACACAGAUGGUAGCUACAACUGUCCAUGCAAAUUUGGUCGGACAGGAAAGGAUUGUCAUCCCAUAUUUCCGGCCCCUGCUGCUGCAAUAUUAGGUGAGCAGACAAAUCGCUCAUACUACCAUGAUUGAAUUUUCUAAGUACACCUCCAUCCCACAAUAAAUUAACUUCUAGAGGUCAUCCGAAGUCGUACUAUAUCUUAUGUUUGACCAAUUUUAUAGAAACUAUGAUGAAUUUAUAUUCCAGCAUGUAUCUAAAUUUUAUGCCAUAAAUAUAUAUGUCCAUAUCAAAUUUGGUCUUACUUUUCGAUUCUGUGAUAUAGUCAAUCAUAGAAAUAAUUCAUUUGUUUUGGGACGGAGGGAGAGUGGUAUAUCAUACAUAUUCUUUUCCACAAGGUGUAAAAACUGUCUGUAAUCUAACAAAUUCCUUCUAAAAAUACUGUAAGGUUCACAGUCGGAAACUGUAGUAGAUUUUUCUUGUUUGCGAAACAGGCAUGAAAAGUUUUGUAUAUAUACUAACAAAAUUGUAAAAGGGUGUUGCCUUAUUGUGCAAUUUACACACGAAAAUCAUAGAUGCAUGGCAUGCAUUAGCAUGCAAACUGUAAUUAAUAUAUGGCAGUAGGAACCUAUAACGUCGCAUAGAACUAUAUAUGGCCAUUGAAUGUGUGGAUGCACGCUGUGGUUGCAGCAACACUUGUCGCAAGCUCUUUUCUGGCACUCCUGCUGUGGUCCAUAUACAAGGAUAGGAAGCGGCGAAUGAAGAAAGCAUGCUUCGACAACAACGGGGGUAAAAUACUGAAGGAAGCAGCUGGCAUUGUCAUAUUCGAAGAAGCCCAGCUGAAGAAAAUAACUAACAACUACAGUACCCCCAUCGGAAAAGGUGCUUUCGGCACCGUCUUCUUGGGAACAACCCACGACAAGCAGCGAGUUGCAGUUAAACGCUCUCAUGUCGACCACAACAAAGGAGGUCUAGUAGGUCCCGUUCAGCAAGGUGACGAUUUUGUGCGUGAGAUCACCUUCCAGUUCCAAAUCAGACACCGAAAUUUGGUUCGCCUGGUUGGGUGCUGCUUAGAGACAAACAUUCCUGUCCUGGUCUACGAGUAUAUUGGUAAUGGGAGCCUCUUCAACCUGCUUCAUGUCGGCACAGAUAAGGUGCUCCCACUGUGGACUCGACUCAACAUUGCCAUUGGCUCUGCAGAAGCUCUUGAUCAUAUGCACUCACACGGUGACCAGGACCGCAUCCACGGUGAUGUCAAAUCUGCCAACAUCCUUCUGGAUGACAAUCUCAUGCCCAAAGUCUCCGACUUUGGAUCGUCCAAGCUUUUGUCAGUCGGUAAGUAUGCCAGGGCCGUACCCGCUGAUACAAGAUAUAUGGACCCAGUGUAUAUGAAGACAAAUCGUUUUGUGGCCAAGAGUGAUGUCUAUAGCUUUUCAAUUGUUCUUCUUGAGUUGAUCACCCGGAAGACCGUCGACUACGGGCAAGAUAAAAUCAAUAGCCUCCCCAUUGUUUUUGACAAGUUUUUUAAGCAGAAGGGUAACGGAAGGGAGAUGUAUGACAGAAACAUUUUAUCUCAUGAUGGUGUUCAAUGUCAAUAUUGCAUAGAGUGCCUUGACAAGAUUGGUGCUCUGGCAAUCCAAUGUCUUAAGUAUGAUGUCGACGAGAGACCGACAAUGAAAGAGGUCGUGAAUGAAUUAACCAAAGCAGCCAAACUACUGGAUAAAUGCAAGCAGAUACCAUGACGAAGAAAGCCAUCCUGCAAGCAUGCUUGGUCAGAUCAUAUUCGCUAAUUUAUAGGGCUAGCUAUAUGGCUUUUCAAGGAGUUGUACUGUAUAUUUUUAUUUUCUGUAGAGAUGGGUGCGAUAAUGUGUCUGUUAUACUUUGUUGUAUUGUACAAUUCUGCAUAUUUAGAAAGACAUUGUAAGUUUGAUAUGUGAACUAUACAAUUCUAUAUAUAUAUGAACUACUAAACUGGGUACCAGACGCCAUCUGGCUGUUGAAACAAGAUAGAUUUGGUCCUCUCACAUGUUUCUAAGUUGUCUACUUCCUACUGUCAGUAAAGUUCUAGUUUAAUAUCUGAAGGUUCAAACCUAAUUUGUUUUACAAAAAAAAUAUGAACCUACUACAUUUUUUAUACAAAAUGUUUUAUCUCUAUUUGUGAUAUAUUUACAGUUAUUUGGAACUUAUUAGUUUUGUUCCUAUUGCUCAAUUGCUUAUAGUAAUGCUCGUUGUUUACUUUAACAAAUAUUCCCUCGGUCUCAAUAUAUAAGGUGUAACCAUUUUUUGUUUAUGUCACAUAAUAUAAGGUGUGCUCUGUUGGAAAAACUACCCUGCAAUCGAAGGACCUAUCGGCAAGAUUAACCCUUAGAGCACUUCUCUUGUGUUAAGUGCAGGCGAAGUCUUCGCACUGAGGGAGUCUUCGCGUCAAGGAUGGCGGCGAAGGAGCCUUUGCACCACGAAGCACGAAGAGGAGGUGGCGAAACAGCCGAUAGGAGUCUUCGCGCCAAGGAUGGCCACGAAGAAGCCUUCGGGUCGAGGAUAACGACGACAUCGAAGGUGGCGAAACAACCGACAGGAGUCUUCGCGCCAAGGAUGGCCGUGAAGAAGCCUUCACAUCGAGGAUGACGGCAACAUCGGAGAAACAACCGAUAGAGUCUUCGCAAAGAAGCCUCUGCGUCAUGGAUGGCGGCGAAACAGCCGACAGCGGCCUUCACACCAAGGCAAAGGAGCCUUUGCGGGAGGAGUGAUGUCGACACCAGUGAGACAGCUGAUGUAGACCUUCGCUCCAUGGACGGCAUGAGAAAAGCCUCUACGAAGACCGACGCCCUACGAAGACUACACUUGGAUUGUAAGUCAGACCUCUUAAUAGGCCGAGAUGUUAGAAUUGGCAGGGACCCAUUAGCCAAAGAGGCUGUAGAAGUAAAAGACCUAAGUGCUCCCGAGAGUAUAUGUAGGGGAGUAGAAUAUUCCUGCUUAUGCCAUGGCUGUCGCAGGGGCAUUUAUGUACUGUAAACAUACUGUAACCGUACGCUAUAAAAGGAGAGCUCAGCUCCGAGGAGGGAGAGAGGAUUUUUGGGUGACCUGAAACCCUAACUGUUGUUUUCAACAAACGUGCGAAACAUAUCUCGAUACCCGAAUCUUUGCGAGUUGAAAGCCCUCGCCCUCGAGCGAAGCCUCUGAACCUUAGGGGCUAUGCCACAACAAGCUUGCCCUUCGUCUCCACUCUCUAUCGGGAACCUGGUGACCCAACAUUAGCGCCCACCGUGUGAUGGCCAGCAAAAACCCACGAUGGCAGGAAAGAGAAGUGCCUCCGCAAGAGCAUUAGCAGGCUCCGCACCAAGGGGAAGACCAAGGCGUAACACUCGUAGCACGUAUGCUUCAACACCAAAUGAUGAAGCGAAGGAUGAUCAAACAUUACAAGACCAACCUCCGCCAGUAGAAGAACAACCACAGCCACAAUCUGUGGCAGCUCAAGAGCUUUAGCAACUUUAGGCCCAGCUUCAAAGCAUGCAGCAGGAAAGAGAUAGAGUUGUAGUAGCUUUCGUGGCCCACCGUCGAGCAGCUCAAGCCUCAACUCAAGCAGCAGAGAUCAGGCAACAACUUGCAGUCUUACAGGCGGAAAUACAGAGCAUGCAGCCCUCGCUACAACCUUCUGCUACCCUCAGCAGUGGACAUCCAGCAGAUUUAAACAACACCAAUCCAAGAAUCAUAGACCUCAAGUCCCCGUUGGCAGAAGGCAUACAAGCGUCGCCUUAGCCAGCUUCCUAUAAGCCAAUUACACUUCCCAAGUUCAAUGGCAAGAUAGACCUGCAUCAAUUUCUAAUGAGUUUUGAAGCAGCAGUAGCCUCAGCAGGCGGAAAUGACUCAGCUUUGGCCAAAUCCUUCAUUAUCGCUGCCGAAGGAGAUGCAUUGGCUUGGUAUUCAAUGCUCAAGCCAAGCAUCGUGUACUCUUGGGAAAACUUCCGUGAUAAUAUCUUAGCAAACUUCAAGGGUUUUGCCACUGAAUCCCUAACCUCUACAGACUUAUUUUAGUGCAAGCAGAACCAGGAUUCGCUGUCGGAUCACCACGGGAUCUGCCGUGCCGGAGCUAGAUCUACCGCCACGUUGAAGGUGGGGAUCGAGCUCCACACGCCGUCGGUGCCGGUAACUGCGUCGUUGGAUCUAAGGCCAUUGAGGGUGAGAGGGGGGGAGGGGUACCACUGCUAGAGGAGGGGGCGCAUGGCCUCGUCGGAGGAGGGGAAGGGGGCCAUGCAGCCGUAUCGGAGGAGGAGGGCCACACACGCCACACCGGAGCGUCAGAGGAGGAGGAUGUGACCGCGCGGCCACGCCAGAGGAGAAUGAGGCUGCCACACUGUUCGAUAGAGAGGGAAGCAUGUCCCGUGCCGCUCGCUUGGUUAGUGUUGACACUUGCUAACGCCACUUGAAUACUAGGUUGUCAUCCCAAGCAUGGCACUAGAGUGUACUAUGGUAUUUAUACGCACACAGAUAAUCCGCAAGCGCACGGAUACGGUUGAAGCUUUUACCCGGUUAAAGGUUUUAUCGUAUCCACAGGGAAACGGGAGAACCAACUACGCUCUAACUUAACCAAGAUAGAUAGAUAGGUGUGAAUAGGAAAUAUGGUAGAAUUGAAUAAGAACAAUAUUAAAGGUAAGAUAAUAAUGAGUGAUAAUAUGGUUAUAGAGAGUAGAGCAAUUCUAGUAUAUGGGCGAUGGUAGCAGAAUAGAGAGGAUAACUAUGGUUUCUCUACUUCAAAGGGGUAUGUCUAUGUCUGGGACGAACCACGUGAUAAGAGUACACCACAAAGGAUGCUUAUCCUUAGGCCGAUAAACCCUACCCAUCCUGCUAACGAGAGGUGGACAACAGAGGACCAACGUAACUGUCACCUACGCGGCCUACCACACGAUCUAGCUAAACAGGGGAUAUCCACAAGUAAUCUAGAUCUAAGCACCUCGCUUACACCUAUACUACAACUCUAACCUAUAGCGUCCUAUAGAUUAAAGUACUCAAAAGAGUUGUGAACCAGAACGUACAUAAUUAGUAAGUGCAUAAUGAAUUAGAAGUAGAUUACCAGAGUCAUCCCAUGAGCAAGCUUGAUUAGAGCUUGAUCAUGACGAAGUACAACCGGAGGAAGAACCGACAGGCUGGCCUCUCCUCUAAUCCUCCUUCGCUCUCCAUCUCGCUACUAUCUAGAUCUACUCUAGUUUAGAGAAGAGAGGAGAGCUCUUAUCUCUAAACCCUAGCUUUUGCUCUGUAUAUGAAUAAUGAAUAAUGAUCAAGGGCUGCCUCCUCCAGGGGCCAGGGGGUCUGGUUAUAUAGUCCCCUCAAGUGAACCUGGGCCGUCGGAUCAAACCGACAUUGAUUGAACGGUUAUUCUUGAUCCUUUAGGUCGGUGGAGAUCUCCCGAGAGAAAGAGUCCUGAUUGGGCUCCAAGUCAGGGCGGGCGCCCAGGGCAGGAGGGCGGGCGCCCUGCCUCUGGCCCUGUUUGGUCUCCGCGUGCUUCCCGUGGCUUCUGGAGUCUUCUAGAUGUAAGAUAAUUGCGCGGCACGUUAAUAUCUCUAUGUAAUCCCGAUAUGUGGGCAUUUCUUCCGUAUUUCCUGAUAACCCCCUGCAGAAAUAGACAAAUACCAAAACUCGUGGAAUUCUGUCAGAUAAAACCCUAAGUCUAGAUGUUGAUUUUAUUUGGAUCCUUUUCUUUGUUUAUUUGAUAAUUAAAUUUGAUACUUAAGGACCGUCAACAGUUAGUCUGGAGGGAGGCGCAGCUCCCCAUUGCCCGCUCUGCUCGCUCGGUGGCAAGAGAGACGGAGGGAGCGAGGUGGCUCAACAGCUGGAAUGGGAAACCCUAGUUUAUGUCUUUAUACUAGGUCGCACUUAACGGGCCUUGUCUAGGCCUCUAGGGCGCAGCCUUUUCUUCGUGAGGCGAGCUAUUUUUGGAAGUCUACCUGUGAAAAUUUUGGCACUUUUGGAGACAGGCCUCUUUUUCGCACAUAAUCCAUCGGGUGCUAGAAGCUAUGCCGUUGGCCGGUAGCAGUGACGCGGUAGUGUUGUUGGCCAGUGCGACACGGUUGGUGAUCCAGACGAUGGUCAGUGGGGAGAUGCCGAGGUACUAGCAAGACGGCUGCUUGGCGUCCGGUGCGAAGAAGCUCGCCUCUUGCCCUCGCGAUACCCCCGCCAAUGCACCCGACUGUGGUCUUCUCCUCGACAAUCUCCCACUGGAUAGUCUCCACGGCGCGCGUGAACAUGCCAGCAGCGCCCUAGAGGCCGUUGAACACAGGCGGUGGUGCCAGCAGUGCGCUGAAUAUGUGGUGGUGUUGACACCCUGAAGGGCCCUGGUGGAUAAUAAACUUACAGAAUGGCUAAGUCUAGUGGCAAAGAUUUCCCAUAUCGAAUUGGUCGAUGGUCCAGAUCAUUUCAGAUGGAGUUUAACCAGAUCAGGGUUAUUCUCUGUCCGUUCCUUAUAUCUAAAUAUUAUAGAUACACAUACACCCUUUCGGCAUAGGAAUAUCUGGAAGAUAAAGGUACCUCUAGAAAUUAAAAUUUUUCUCUGGUUCCUGCAAAGGGGUGUCGUCCUAACCAAAGACAACCUUGCUAGGAAAAAUUGGAAAGGGUGUCAGAAGUGCAUUUGCUGUAACGGGAAUGAAACUAUUCAACAUUUAUUCCUUGACUGCCCCUUUACCAAAAUGAUCUGGAGGCUUAUCUUCUUUGCUACUAGUUUGUCCCAACCUAGAUCUAUCAGCCACAUGUUUGGUACUUGGCUAUCUAAUCAUAAUCAAAAUAAAGAGAUUAGAGAUCUAAUUUGGGUGGGGGUGGCUGCUUUGCUUUGGGCUAUCUGGAGAUACCGCAAUGAUUAUGUUUUUAAUAAAAUGAAAACUAACUCUAUUAUGCAGGUAAUUUUCAGGGGAGCGUACUGGUUACGCUUUUGGGCUCAGCUGCAGCAUGAUGAGACAGCCAAGGACGUGCUCUCGAAGAUAAGCAAGAAAUUAGAAGUAAUUGCUUUAGAGAUAUCCAAUAAAGGAUGGAAACAUUUAUAUUGUUUAAACUAGCACCCCGGUCCUUGUUUAGAGCUUUGGCUCUCCUUGUUUAUCUCCUUUUAAACUCUGUAAUGUUGGGCUGUGUACAUCCCGGAUGUAGAAGCCGGAUUUUAUAUCCAUUAUCAAAAAAAAAAAAAAUGUGAGGAGAACCAAAACAGCACUCCUCCCCCUUGCUUCAUUCCCACCACUGUGAAUUUCAAGAUGAAGUAGCCUCGGCCCUUAGUGUUCCUGUACCCGUGCAUAUCGAACAUGCGGACUUGUUCGGCAGCGCCUCGCGCAGGACGCAGAGGAUGGGCUCGAACUGGUUCAAUCAUCUUAAUGUUGUAGACUAUCUGGAAGGCAAGGAAUGAACUCAUAUUUAAUAAUGUUAAAAUUGGCAUUGAGGAUUGUAAAGCUCGCUUCUUUCACUCUUUCAGGAAAUCAGGCUAGCUAGCCUCCCUAAGGAGAGAACUCCAGUAGCAAAACUGUGCCCAUCCUGGAAACCAGAAAAAAGAAGAAACACGAUCCCAUGGCAGCAAAUAUCUCACAGGUGUCGAAAAUGGAUAAUUAUUAAUUCGAAGUUCUGCAUCUUAAGAUUUUGAUAGUGAACACAGACAGAAACCACUUGAAUGCAAAUCUUCCCGUUAAUACAGGGGUUUUGAAAGGCAGUAAGGCACGCAGAUGCAUAUGUCUACGUACUUUAUUACUCGACUCGAAAUAGAGUUGUUACGAACUCUGUAUAUGUUGUAGCCCCACACCAGGACUUAACACACCUGAGUUAAUAAGUAAAAUGAAACACUGAACUCACAAGCCGAUGCGAAUUUCUCCAGGAUGCUCUGGAUGGUCACUUCACUGAUGGAUUACUAAUAAAUAAAACUAGAGUGUAUCGGCUCCUCCACUUGUGUUUCAGACACCGAGGCUGCGUAGUGCAGAGACCACCUCCUCGUUGGCCUCAUCGGCCUCUUGUUUGUCGCAUAUAUAGGGAGGCUGCCGCCGAGAUCUCCUCGUCGGUUAUCUCAUUCUCCUCUUCCCCGCCAGAUAGAUAAUUAGCUGCUGAGACUGUUGGGAACUCAGUACCGCCUUCCCCUGCCUGGUCGCUUCGGAGGAUCCACCCUGACUUGAACCUCUGGCCCGAGAUCCUUCGAGCAUUAUGGUGCGGAGGUUCUGGAGAAACUGGCCUUGUUUAGUUCCCAAAAACUACAAAAAAUUUUCAAGAUUCUUCGUCACAUCGAAUCUUACGACAAAUGCAUGAAGCAUUAAAUAUGGAUAAAAAUAAAAACUAAUUACACAGUUUACCUGUAAAUCGCGAGAAGAAUCUUUUGACCCUAGUUAGUCUAUGAUUAGACAAUAUUUGCCACAAACAAACGAAAAUGCUACAGUACCCGAAGCCAAAAUUUUUUGCAAACUGAACAAGGCCUAACAGUAACGCGUCUUGUAUGGUGUUGGGUGAGUGCAGGAGCUAAGCCAGAGGCAGAGGUCACAAGGAACGUGGGAGAGGACCUUCAGAUCUCCCCACGAUGAAGGAUGGACGAAGGCACAUCGGAGGAUGCAAACCCCUCCAGUUUACCUAAAAAGAAGUGUGAGUCGUCAGACUUCCUGCUCGCUCAGCUUCCCAUUGUUUGGCUCACGCUGGCCAUUCCGGGGGCAUCCCCACUGUCGCCCAUGGUCUCCUCGACGGGCUCUAAACCUCGGUGAGUGAAGCCACUGAAGCGUGUUCAGUUGGAUAGUUUAAUUAAAUAGACUAAUAUGAAUUACAGGUUUUUUUUUGGGUCGAACUAUAAACAACUGGACUUGUUUUCUGAUCUGUUCAGCUUGGCUUUUUUUUUCCUUGUUUCAGUUUGGUUUGUUGUUGAUGUUGCGCUGAAGGAAAAAAAACGACAUGCUAGCGGGAGCAGCUGCAACAGCUUUGAGGGGAGCAGCUGGAACAGACUCAUAAAACUUAAUCUUUCUUUUACUUGAAAUUUCUUCUGUUCCUUGUUUCAGUUUGAUACGUUGUUGCAUUGAACAAAAUAAAAAGUGACACGGAGAAUGAUUGAUUGACCAAUAAAGCUCGUGAGCAUGGACAUGGUCACCGGUGCUUUGGGCAUGCUCCCCUCCGAGCUGCUAUAGAUACUGUAAUAUUUAUAUUUUAUUUGGCAAUUAGAGUAACUCCAAGAGAAAAGUUAUCCAUGUUGUGUAAUCUAUAUUUGACUAAUUUGGAAAAAAAGAGAGUCCAACAACUAUUAUAAUUGGUUUUCUAAAAUAGCAAGUCAUGUAUCCUGGAAAUUUUCGCAUACUAGAUAUAACUUGCAUGUGCCGCUAGCCAUUCACUUCAUCCUAUUAGAAAGACUGUUAGAGUUUUGUAUUUUUUUUUCUCGAGUUUCUACUUUAAAGAUGAGCUAAAUCAUGAGUUUAGCCAUCUAUUUUUACCAACUCCGUUGGAGAUGCUCUUAGUGUCCAAUCAUGGACUAAUUAGGCUUAAAAGAUUCGUCUAGCAAAAUAAUCUCUAGCUGUAUUUUUAGUUUCAUAAAUUGUCUAUAUUUAGUACUCCAUGCAUGUGUCCAAAUAUUCAGGAGCAAAACGGGUGACUUUAUCAAUCUGGAGAUUUGCUGGUCCAACUCGGUUCUCCCGAGGUACUCAUAGAGGUAGAGUAUACAUAUGUGUUUUUAGAAGUAAAUGUAUGUUCAUAUAUGUGAGCAUUUAUGUCUAUAUAUAAUUGGGUCCAGCAAAAAAAAAGGCUAACCAAACCGGCCUUGUUUAGUUCACCCCGAAAUUGAAAAACUUUUCAAGAUUCUCUGUCACACAUCUUGUGGCAUAUGUAUGAAGCAUUAAAUAUAAAACAAAACAAAAACUAAUUGCACAGUUUAUCUGUAAUUUACGAGAUAAAGGCACUCCAUCUGCGGAGGACAAUAUAAUGGAGGCACAGAGGCAUCAGUGGUGAUGGCGCCGUGGUCCCACUAGACCUUGACCCUUGGGGCAGCUGAGUCAAGUCGUCGGCACUGGUAGAUAUGCAGUCACUAUCAUGGCAGUGACAUGGCGAGACGACGCCGCAGGCCUCUGCAUCAAUUACGGGAAGCUUCAAUUAAUGGAUGCCAAUAAGAGAGCAUGCUGAUAGGAUAAUAAGAGACUGUAUGCUCUUGGUCUCAGCCACACAUCAACGCAAUUCCUCUGGAUCGCUCUUGGUCUCAACUGUGGUGAGUUGAAGCAUUUUUCAUCGUUUGGAAGAAUACUUACCGUUUUGAGUUGAAACAGAAACAUCUUACUUAGCUUGGAACACAUCUCAGGUUCAAGUCUUUUUUAUCUGGGUCGCUCUUAUCCUGGCCAUACUGCAAAACACGCUCGUCGUGCUCUGUAUUUUUAGCCGGCCGUCGAUGCAACUCCUCUGCAGCUCCUCCGACGUACGGCCACCAUGGUGAGUUGAAACAUUUUUCAUUUGGAAAACAUUCCUACCAGUCCUACCGCGUAUGUUUCUACAUGGGCCUGAAACAGGAACACCAUACACAUGGCUUUGAUCAAGUUUUAUUAAUUAUGUUCAAAACUUUGUUGUUGCACUAUAAACAUUUGGCCCUGUUCUUUCUUUUCAGAUCGGUCCAACUCAAAAGCUCGAUCUGUUUCAGAUUGGUCUGUAAUUCCACUGAAGAGAUAGACACGGCCUGCUUGGUGAGUUGAAGCAUUUUUCAUCAUUUUGAAAAAAAUUCUUUCCUCUGUAUAUGUUUAAUUUGAGUUGAAACACAAACAUCUUACUAAUAAGCUUUGACCAGAUUUUAAGUUCAAGUCUUCAUUAUCCGGGCCGCGAUUAUCUUAGCCGACCAUCUGUACUGCAAAACACGCUGGUCGUGCUCUGUUUCUUAGCUGACCAUCGAUGCAACUCGUCUGCAGCUCCUCCCACGGCCACCUUGGUGAGUUUGAAUCAUAUUCUUUUAAACACUCCUACGUAUGUUGAGCAGGAACAGGGACAUCUUACUUAGCUUUGGACAAAUAAUUUAUAAUAAGGUUCAAGUCUUGAUCGUCGAACUAAUCCUUAGGUCUUGUUUAGUUUAACUCAAAAACCAAAAAGUUUUCAAGAUUUCCCAUCAUAUCGAAUCUUGUGGCACAUGCAUGAAGCAUUAAAUAUAGACGAAAACAAAAACUAAUUACAUAGUUUGCCUGUAAAAUUGUGAGAUGAAUCUUUUAAGCCUAGUUAGUUCAUGAUUGAACAAUAAUUACCAAAUAAAAACGAAAGUGUUACAGUACCCAAAACCAACAAAUUUUCGGAACUAAACAAAGCCUGUCUUUUUUUUUUCAGUCCAACUUGACAGUUCUUUUAAUUGUUUCAGUUUGAUCUGUUCUUACACUGAAGAAAAAGCAAAACAAGUGAGGACAUACCAACUGGAACACACUACAACUUUGCAGGCUAUCAGAUUACCAGCACAGUGAUUGGUUAAUCAUCUUGUCAGCCCGUGAGCAUGGACCUUGUCACCGGUGCUUUGGGCAUGCUCCCCUCCAAGCUGCUGGAGCUUCUCAAGGAUGAGUACAAGCUGCAGAAGGGCGUCAAGGUGAAAGUCCAGUCCCUCUCCCGGGAGCUCGAGUGCAUGCACGCCGCCCUCCGCAAGGUGGCGGCAGUGCCAUGGGACCAGCUCGACGAGCAGGUCAAGAUCUGGGCACGCGAGGUUAGGGAGGCUUCCUAUGAUAUUGAAGAUAUACUUGACACCUUCCUUGUGCGUGUCGAUGGCCAUGAGCAGGCUGAUCUGAGCAGACUCAAACGAGCCAUGAAGAAGAUGGGAGACUUGUUCAGCAAGGGCAAGGCUCGUCGUGAAAUUUCGUGUGCCAUCGAAGACAUCACCAAGCAACUUCAGGAGAUGACAGAGCGGCAUGCCAGGUACAGGGUCGAUGAUCUUGUUGCCAAGCAUGCUGCCACAACAAGUAUUGAUCCACGGCUUUCGGCUCUGUACACAAAAGUGUCACAGCUUGUUGGGAUUGAAGGGCCAAUGGAUAAGGUCAUAAAAAUGCUGACAUCAGUAGCAGAAGACAUGGAGACGAAGAUAGUAUCUAUUGUUGGGUUUGGAGGGUUAGGCAAGACUACUCUUGCUAGAGCUGUGUAUCAGAAUCUUAGUCAGGAUGUCUGUUUCAAAGCUUUUGUUCCAGUUGGUCGGAAUCCAGACUUAAAAACAGUCUUAAAAGACAUUCUCAUUGAUUUGGACAAGCAACGUUACACCACCGAAUUCAAUUUGACAAUAUUGAAAGAAAAGCAACUAAUCGAUGAACUUCAGGAAUUCCUAAAGGACAAGAGGUACUCAUUAUUAUCAUAUUCCCUCCGUCUCAAAAAGACCAUUGUUGUUGACUUUUAUACAUCUUGUUUAACCAUCCAUGUUAUUACAUCUUUUUUAUAAAUAUCGUCUGUUUUGAUAUGACUUAUUUGAUCAUUAGAGAUACUUUAAUAAUGAUUUAUCUAUUUUAGAAUUUGCACAAAAAUUUUGAAUAAGACGAGCGGUCAAAUAUGAUUGGUCAAAGUAAAAAACAUCGGUCUUUUUGAGAUGAAGAGAGUACUAUUCAGCCUUUUAAUUAAGUUACCAAACUGGUACAAUCAGUUGAGAAAUCUACAAUAUUUAUAUUAAUAGUCUAUUACGAAAUCUAAUGUUUCAGUGUUCAUUUAGUGUUGUUAUCUAGUCGCUAGUAAAGUGUUUUCCAACGAUAUUCCUCUUCAACUCAAUGUAUUACUGUUUGUGUCAGCUUGAAGACUUGAAUGAGCUCUUGUCCAUUUUCAUGCAACUACAUGACACCUUUGUUUCUGUGCGUAUAGGUAUUUCAUUGUUAUUGAUGACAUAUGGGAUGUACCUUCAUGGAACAUUAUAAGAUGUGCUCUAGACAGCAACAGCUUGGGAAGCAAAAUAGUCAUAACUACAAGGAAGCAUGAUGUUGCUGAGAAAGUUGGUUGUUCUUAUAACAUGGAACCCCUUGGGCAUGAGAGUUCCAAAGAUUUAUUCUAUGGAAGAUUAUUUGGCUCUGAAGACGAGUGUCCCAAACAAUUUGUAGAUGUUUCUGAAAAAAUAAUUAAGAAAUGUGGAGGUGUGCCAUUAGCUAUCAUUACCACAUCAGGUUUGCUAGCGAAUAAGAUGGGAAAUGUAAAACAGUGGAAAGAGUAUUGUGAGUCUAUUGGUUCGGGGCUUGGAAGCAAUCCUGAUAUGGAAAAUAUGAGGAAGAUAUUAUCUCUUAGCUAUUAUGAUCUACCAGCUCACUUGAAGACAUGCUUAUUAUAUCUAAGUGUAUUUCCAGAAGACUAUGAGAUUGUUAAGGAUCGAUUGAUUUGGAGGUGGAUAGCGGAAGACUUUGUCCCACCUGGAGAAGGGGGGCAAAGUUCAUUUGAGCUUGGGUUGAGUUACUUCAAUGAUCUUGUAAAUAGAAGCCUGAUCCAACCAGCAGAUAUGGAUGACGAAGGUACGCCUAUUUCUUGCCGUGUGCAUGACAUGGUGCUUGAUCUCAUUUGUAACAUAUCAAGAGAAGAAAGUUUUGUUGCAACAGUACUAGAUGAUGCCAGGCAGAACACACCUUCUUGGGGAAGCAAGGUUCACAGGAUGUCCCUGCACAAUACUACUUGGCCUACAGUAAUGGACUUGUCAAAACUAAGGUCACUUACUGUUUUUAGUGCUGCCAAAAUUAAAUUGAUGCCGUCCCUUUCAUAUCUUCAUCUUCUCCGUGUAUUGGAUCUAGAAGGUUGCAGUCUUAAGGAACUUACAAACUUGAGUUUCGUUGCACGCUUAUUUCACCUGAGGUAUCUAAGUCUAAGAAAUACUAGCUAUGCUGGUGAGCCCCCAUCGGAGAUAGGGAAGCUAAAACUUUUGCAGACAUUAGACCUAUGGGGAACUGAUAUAGAAGAAUUGCCAUCAAGUAUUAUUGGGCUAAGAAGACUGAUGUUUCUGGCUCUUAAUUGGCGUAUCUGUCUGCCAAAUGGAUUGAAGAAUCUAACAUCCUUAGAAGUGCUACAGUAUGCAAUUGUUGAUUCUGCGCAGAUUGCAGAAGAGCUAGGCCAUUUGAUGCAACUGAGGAUCCUCAGAGUCGGGCUGUGUAAAAAGGACACGGAAGCAGGAUAUUAUGAGGGCAUUUGCAAAGCUUUAGUGGAGUCCCUAGGCAAACUGCAAAAAAUCCAACAGCUAGUAGUACUAAGCCCAAGUGACGUGGUGAUGAAUCUUGAAGGCUCGCUGGAGUCCCUAGGCAACCAGCUGUCCUAUCUUCGUAUUCGGAAAACAUGGAUCAAUCCUGGAUCGCUUCUCCUCCUAUCCUCCCUGGACAUAACGGUGUCUCAGGUGCGAACGGAGGACAUCCAAGUCCUCGGGAUGCUACAGGCUCUUCGUGUUCUACGAGUGGAUGUGGCUGGUGACAACUUACAAGUGCUGGGAAGGUUCACGGUUGGCCCUGAUGCCUUCCCAUGCGUAAUGGAGUGCAAAUUCUAUGGUUUCCAAACAGUACCCUCUAUGUUCCCACGAGGAGCUAUGCCCAGGCUUGAAGAAUUCCAUUUCCGUAUGAGCCUGCAGGAUUUCUUGAAAGGUGAAUUCAGUACCGAUGACCUGGCCUUGGACCACCUCUCGUCCCUUCGGAGUGUGGAUGUUCGUCUUUUCGGUGGUGGACACGAAAAGAUGGAGCAGGAGUUGGAAAUGAAAGAGAAAGUGAAAGAGAAGCUGAGGCAAGAGGCGGAUGCCCACCCCAACCACCCUUCCUUAGCCCUCUACUAGAAAAAAAAAAAAAGAUCCUGGAUUCAACGUGUGCCUACCUAAAUGCAUGUAGGUACGUAUAUUUUCUAAUGAAUGCAUGCAUGCAUAUUUUCUACUGCAGUUAAUUAGUCCACUCAUGACUUGUUUUUCGUAUCGUAGCAGCUCCCGGGUCUGAGAGUGUUGUCUCCAAUUGGUGCAAAAUAUAUAUGCUACAACGGUCUUAAACAAGCAGCCACACGCUUUAGUUUGUUGGUGUACACACGGAGGAGCAGGGCAAGCUAGCUGUGUAAAACAUUAGCCGUAUUCUUUACCACUUAUUAUUGUCAAUCGUGUUUUCUUUUUAAUCCUUUCAAAAUAUGCUUCCAUUAUCGUUCGAAUUAUGUAAUUCUUCUUCUUUUUUUCUUUUUGUUUCUCUCGUCCUCUGGUCUCUGUGUCAUGUCUCUUAUUUAUACUUCUCGCCACCUUUCUUCUAUACCUUAUAAUAAAGAGGCAAAAUUUCAAUCUCCUUUUUUUGUCUAAAUAUUUUUUAGUCUGAUCUUCCAUAUUAUUUUUCAGUCAGGGAAUCAAGAUCUGUGCAUCCAAUCCAAAUGAAUUAAAACAAAAUCCUCUGGCCCCGUUACCGGCCUUUGAAUCCUAAUCGAUCGGCGAGGUGUCGACUACCCGAGCGGCGGCGAAGAGGCAGAAUUGAAGAUGGCAGGGGAGACAACGCGCCCUAGCCCCAUCCUCGACCCCGCGUGCUCGACGCCACGAACCCUGAGGCGCAAACUACCGCCUGCCUCUUUUUCUGCCUUAACGAACUGUCGUCUCGCCUCUGCUCGCGCUUGGCGCAGGACGCCGCCGGUCGUGCGUGAUCCACGGCUGGUCGAUCGGUUGCCGAUGCGACGAGAGCAAGUUGCGGUGCGGCCACCGAGCGCCUGAGUGUGGGGUGCUGCCUGCUCUGCUCUCUGCUAUUCUUGGUGCUUGCAAUUUGCAAAAAACGGCUACAGCCUGACAAGAUGACCAAUAUAGUAUGACCCAUACCAUGUCACAAUUCCCAUCCAGAUCGAAGACCAUCACGUGACAUGCAGCGCAUCGGCUGCCUGCGUGGCUGUGCACAAUGCUUCUCAAAAUUUCUUUUUCACAGGUUAGUCGAAUAUCUAUUUAUUUUCUCCUAAUUUACUACUGCAGGUUGAUAUAUUUUUGUUCUCGGUCUCACUAGCUUAAGAGGACCCUUUUGAUGUGGAUGUCUUUGACUAUGCAUACAUAAAGUGAAUGAUGAGUUUGUUCAUUUGUGUGUGUGUGUUUUUCAUGGAUGAAGUGAGAAUAUCUGUGCUUUAUAAAAAUCAUUAUAUAAAAAGAUUGCACAAAAUAUGCAUAUUAUUGAAUAGAAUAAUCUGACAUUCGCCCAUAGCAACGCACGGGCAUGUUUGCUAGUCAUCUACUAAAAGCAACUUGGUUCGUUAUUUGUCCAAUGAUGCCAUGUCUCAUUGGUGGAAAUUAUUCUACUUCUACAGGGUGUCUUUUUUUUUAGUAGUGCAGAAGAAUGUUAUGAAGCUUGAAACCGAAUGAUGAGAUGAUGGUGAGGUUAUAUUAUAUUCUCCUUGCUAGUUAUUGACAUGCAAAAAGAAUCAAAUCUAGCCAAAUGUGGAGCAUAUCUGCAAAAUAAAAAAAAAACAAAAAAAACGGCGCAGGCCGGGCAGUUUUGCCAAACAGGCGGCCGGUUUUUGCUGUGUUCCGGCACCGCCCGCAGAAAAUGACCCCACACCGAUUUACGCCCCCAGUUUGCUAAUAUCAUUUACUAUUCUGAGUAGAAGGAGCAACGAUAUCAUAUCCGGGUUGUGAGAUCUGCCAGGAUUGAUUAAUGUCGAUCGCAUUAAUUUAUUUACACUAACCAAUUCCCUCUAUAUAAUCGAGCACAAGCAUCAGGCGAUUUGCAUCCCAAAACACAAGAAUAGUACAGUACUUGCGAGUGUUAUUGAUACGAUGAGGGUGGUGCACUCCAUCGCUGCAGCAAUUUGCAUCCUUCUCAUGGUCAUGUCUUGCACCCUCAUGACACCCACCUGGGCAGCAGGUAAAAUCUUCAGUUGUUGAAUUGAAUUCGUUAACACGAAUGCAUUGUAAAUACGUCUGCUGAUCCAUUGAGUUUUGUUUUGGUGAUACAGAGAAAUGCUUUGAUCAGCACCCGACAUGCACACAGGCCGCGUGCGAGAAAAAAUGCAGAGACGAAUUCCGUUCCAAGCUUACCAGUUUCAGGUGCACAAACGUGCCAGGACCCAACUUGUACAUUGUUUGCUGCUGCACCCACACUUGACGCGGGGAUGACGAUUGUUAGAAAAUAGUGUGUGUAGCAAUAAUAAUUCUACAAGGAUAUGUAAUGAAUCGACUUGCUCAUGCAUGUAAGAAAAGAUUGACAACCAGCCAGAACCAGAGUUAAAGUCCGAAUCUCACUAUUGCUAGUUAGAUGCUCCAAUGGAGCCAUAGCCACUGUGUUAAUUCUCACUAGAUGCACUGAAAAAAAGGAUAAGUUUAACAUUUCUUACAAAAAUAUAAAUAUAUGUCCUUUAAUAUCAUUUAUUCCAAUCAUCAUCGAUGACAAUAUAGCCAUUAGCUUUAUUAUAAGUUACAAAAAAAAAUUACACAACUUUCAUUAUGAAAAGUGUAAGAAGUAAAGUAACCUACUAAUCUUGCAUCCAGAAACUAUAUAGAUGCUCUGACUGAGACACCAUGUUAAUUCUUAUAAAUUUUUCCAAUAAUUAGAAACAUCCUGCCAUUAAUUUGAUAUAUUCUAAUAAUCAUCCCUGAUAACAGUUAAAAGUACACACCUCCAUCAUUAUUCUUUUAGAAAGGCGGCAAGAGAUUUGCUGAAAUUUUAUUAGACAAAAAAAACGAAAAAAGAGUUGGCACCUCCAUCAUUAUGAAAAGUACAUAAAGUAAACCUAAUAGCGCAUCUAAAUUACUCACCUACCACUAUCAGAAUAAUUUAAAAUAACCACCUAAAUAUGUACACAAACUACCCACAUAUGCUACAAUGGAAAAUACUUCGAAUUAACUACUUAAAUUAUCUUAAAAAUACACAUAGUUGCUAUUAUCUAUAUCUAUAUCUAUAUCUAUAUCUAUAUUUUAUUAAGCCAUGCCAUCUUUUUCUAUUGGACCCACAAUACCUUCUUGCGCACCAACCAAAGGGGCACAAAAGUUACUGCACCAUGGGUUCCUCUACCACAACACACAUCAAUUUCUCUGCCACAAUAAUUGCAUCAAAAAGGAGUUUUUACUAUAAAUGCAUUCAUAUAAGGCCAUCCUCAGUGGUGGUUUUAUGACAUAGUUUUCAACAUAUCUAUAUUUUAGAAAUAGUGUCGAAGAGUUUUGUCCCCAUAAAACUCUCUCUACUCCCAUAAAACUAUUAUCAUCUCUCUCUUUAUUAAUACAGUACCUCAGCAUAUUUAAUAUCUAUGAAACUAUGACGAAACACCAUUGAGACUGACCUAAAAAUGAACGAUUAUUGCUAUAGUCGAGUUUAAAUAACUCCACUCUACCUCAAGCCUUGUUUAGUUCAAAACAAAAACCAAAAAAAUUUCGAGAUUUUCAGUCACAUCGAAUAUUGCGGCACAUGCACAGAGCAUUAAAUAUAGACGAAAACAAAAACUAAUUGCAUAGUUUACCUGUAAACCGCGAGAUGAAUUUUUUGAGUCUAGUUAGUUCAUGAUUGAACAAUAAUUGACAAAUAGAAAUGAAAAUGCUUCCAUACCCAAAAUCAAAAAAAAAUCAAACUAAACAAGGCCACUCGCAAGCCACCUUGCUUUGCAUGGCCAUCCCUUACCCUACUCGUUGUUAGAUGAGUUAAUAUAAUUUGAUUGGGCUACUGUAACAUCCUAAAAUUUGCAUCAUUUUAUAAAUAGGUGAAAUUGAUUUAUUUAUACAUCUUUGUGAGCAUUUAAACUUAAGAAAUAAUAUUUUUUUCUGAACCAUGAUCGGUAUUACCGAUGAUCAUAUUAAACUUGAAACCGAGUUUCUGGUGAUUUCCUUCAACACAUGAGCAAAGGGAUGAGGUUAUAUAUUCCUUGCUAGUUGUUAACGGCAAAAGAUGGUUAGAGGAGAUUACAUUCGAGUUACAGGAUCAAAUACAUGCACAAAGAAUAAAAUUUUGCUGAAUUUUGAGCAUCACGACCUCCUCCGACGUCCCCAUACGAGCUCGGCAACCGUCUUUCCAGGUAACUAUAGUUUUAUGCGUCGUUCAUAUACUUUACAUAUAUACCUAGUGCAUUGUUCAAACAUCACGGGUGUGUUAUUGCAGUCCCAGUUGGCCGAGUUACGGGCCAGGCAAGAGUCCGCGGAGGAGGCCCAUCGGCAGGAGAUAGCGCGCUAGAACGAGGCCCAUCGGCAGGAGCUGGCGCUUUGCCGAGAGCGUAGUGGCCCUUUGCCAAGCGCUCGGGCUCUCGGCAAAGUACCAGAAUCCUAUAGUGUGUGUAAAAUCUAAAAAAACAGCCAUUGCCGGUUUUGCCAAACAGGCCUAGGGGGUGGUUUUUUUGCUGUGUUGAAACCCCCCCCCCCUCCAGUUUGCUCAGACCAGUCUUAGUGAGAGUUUCAUCUUAAUUUCAUUCACAUUAAAUAGGCUGCCACAUAUGUAUUUUGCAUGGCAUGAUAGUGUAUUUUAAGAAUAGAGAGAAGAAAUAGAUUUCAUCUAGAUGAAACUCUCUUGGCACGAUUACCAACUCUCUAUGAGUCAUGAAAUUAAAUGUUUAUGAAACCAUGGAAUGAAACUCUCCAUAGAGAGUGAGUGUUUCAUCCAAGUUUCAUUUCAUUUCACAUGAUAUGGCAACCUUAGAAACAACGCUACGAAACUAUCCACUAAGACUGGCCUAAUAUUUUUUCCAUGUAUUUUAAUAUAACAUUAUAUAUAUUCCUAAUUUAUAUAUCUCCCUGGCUGAGUUAGAUAUCUGUGAGAUAUAUGCCUGCAUUAAUUAAUGUGGCAUUGUUUACACUGAAAAUUUCAGUGUAUAUAAACGGGCACAAGCAUCAGGCCAUUUGCAUCCCUGGAACACACAAGAAUAGUUGUACUUGCGAGUGCUAAUACGAUGAGGGCGGAGCCCUCCGUAGCUGCUGCCCUUUGCGUCCUUCUGAUGGUCACGUCUUGCACCCUGACGACACCCACCUGGGCAAAAGGUAUAUAUAUACACACAUAAACACGAAUGAAGGUACUCUAAUUAUUUACUUUAUCAUAUAUAAUAAUGAGAGUAAAUUCUUCCGCUGUUCAGUUGAGGUUAAUUAACAUGCAUGUACGUCUGCUGAUCCAUUGAGUUUUAUUUUGGUUGUACAGAGGAUUGCUUUCGGAUGCCAGGAUGCAUGGAAUUCCCGUGCGAGCAAAAAUGCGAAGACGAAUUCCACUUCAGGGUCACCGAUUCCAGGUGCAGGAUUCGUGGGAACGUCGAGCUUUGCUGCUGCACCCACAAUUACGUAACAGCUUGUUCCUCAGCGCUUCGUGGAAGCGCAAGCCCUUGAUGAAGGCAGAGAUGGCCUCGUCGUGGGAAAUCUUCGGGAUUUUGAGGCGCAUAUCCGAGAAUCGUCGGAUGUAAUCGCGUAGAGGUUCGUUCUUCCUGUCCCUUAUCCUUUCAAGGUCAUAUUUGUUUUCAGGCUGCUCGCAUGUGGCGAUGAAGUUGUCGAUGAAAGCCUGGCGCAGCUCUUCCCAAGAGUCGAAGGAGUCCUCGGGCAAGCCAAGAAGCCACUGAUGACCAGCCUGGUCGAGGACUACGGGGAAGUAGUUAGCCAUGACGUGCUCAUCUCCUGCGGCUGAUCGGACGGCGAUUUCGUAGAGGGUGAUCCAGUUCUCUGGAUUUUCCUUGCCGUCGUAUUUUUUAAGUUUUUCGAGCUUGAAAUUGCGGGGCCACACGACCUGGCGGAGGUGUGAGGAGAACUGUCUUAGACCCGGGGGACCGUGCGUUGCAUCGUACUCGAUGCGGCGCAGGUUUUCGUGGACUGCUCUCUCUGUGGCGCGCCUGUUGAUGCGGUCCCGGGCAUCUUUGGGAGGGAUGUUGUGGCGGAGAUCCCUGUGUUGGUUUACUUCUUGACCGCGUACGCGGUUCUGCUCGCGGCGACCGUCGGCGUCCCGACCACCAUCGUCACGCCGUGAGUCCUUUCGACGGUUGUCGGGAGAGCGGCUGCGGUGACGCCUGCUGGGAGACGGUGAGGCCCGGCUACGAUUAGUCUGGUCGGAGGCGGCUUCCGUAUAAAAGACGUCCUGGACUCUCUUGAGCAGAGUGGUUGUCUGUCCCAUUGCAGCGAUCAGGUGUGCUCGGAUGCUGGUCCGGACUCCCUGGCACUCGGGGGUAUCAGGAAGCCGAUCUAGGUUAGCCAUGGCGACGGCCACGUUGGCGCUUGGCGUUUUGUAGACUGGCUGGUCCCCGACCAUGUCAAAGGCAUCGUUGAGAUUAUUUGGUGGCAUUUGUUGUUGCUCGUCUGCGCGUCGUCGGGCGCGAUCGGCGUUGCGUUGUUCGCGGAGUUGCCUCUGCUCAUCUGUUUCUCCAUCAACGACCGGUUCGUCGGCGCUGACAUUAAACACAAUAUCUCCUCGUCGGGGGGAGAAAUAUCGGGAAACGGGGGAAACCCGGAGGGUGUGAAGGAAAAUCCAGGUCGUAGUCCUCGUCUUCGGUGUUUAUAACCUCGGUGGGGACGGAACCGGUACUUGAAUUGGUGCUGGAAACCUGGCCGUCUCGUAGUUCUCGGAUCGUCACCAUGUUGACGUAGUGACGAUCGUUCCUUUUCGGCGACCAACACGCCUUGCUGAAAACGGAUUGGGUGUGCUGUGAGUAAACAGAGGCCGAGUUGUUCAGGCCGCAAGGAUAAUCUUCCUUCUUGAGCUUGACGGAUCGUCCUGAGGGUGUUGAGGUUAUCGUCAGAGACGUUCCCAGCCGUUCGUGUGUGGCGACACGAGUUGGCCGGCGGGAUUUGAAAAAAUCCGCUGGAGCAGCUUGGUCGGGCCGACGCAGAACUCCGUCUACUAGUUGGGAAACUUCGAGUAGCUUGGAGUCAGCGCGAUCAAGCGCUUGGAGAAGGUCCGAGCAGUCGAUCUUCUUUCCCUUGUAGAGCGGGAACGGUGGUCGGGCGCUUGGUGCCGUCACGCGUGUGGUCGGAGACGGCGUGAUCUCAGAUUGGAUCUGGAUCUCUUUCGAAACCGUGGUCGUGAGGCCGCCGCUGCACGUCGUCCACGUGAUCUGGCCGACGGUGAACGUGAGGCCUUCAGGCACGGUCGCGGAAGCUGGGAUCGUGACCAUCUUGUUCGCCGGAAAAGUUGCACGCACACCCCCUACCUGGCGCGCCACUGUCGACGAAAGCUGGUCGGCAGUCUACCUUGGGGUAUACCCACGGUAGUAGUUUAUCGGUAGACGGUGUGCAAACUACGAACUCGAUGGUGACGCAAGACACGGACAAGCUUUUUAUCCAGGUUCGGCCGCCGAGUUGGCGUAAUACCUACGUCCUGCGUCUGGUUGUAUUGAUUUGUGUUCAGAGAAUAUGAUGUCCUAGGGGGUCCCUUGCCUCUCCUUAUAUAGUCUGGAGGGCAGGGUUACAGAUCUGGAAACUAAUCCUAGUCGGUUACAAUUGCCAUGGAUAAUUCGAUAUCAAUUCCUAUUCUAACCGACUAGAAUCCUGCUUGAUCUCCACAUCUUGUUUCCUUGCGCGAAACUCCAGGUUGUCGGAUCAAGCCUUGAACUCGUCUCGUAGUGGGCCAAGCCUCCUGGCCGAAGUCUAGCCGUAAGAGUAUAGGGGUUUAUACCCCCACAUUAAGGAGUUACUAAUGUCAUAGGCGAGGUAACAGAACAUUACUAACACAUACAAUAUAUUCUUUAUUCAAUUUAUAUUGGACAAAUAACAUCUCACUAUCGUGAUAUAUGUUGUUGUUCCUUGAUAUUUUUAAAUGUUUAUCAGACUCUACACGAAAUCCUAUUUGUUAUCAUAGAAAGGUCUAUAAAAUAGAGUGUGUGAGCCUGUGACGCCGCGUUUAUCAUGAUUAUGUUUGAUUUUAAAAGCUUAGCUUUUAUGAGAUAAUGUCAGUUUAAUAUUGGUAUUUAGUUUUUAUCGUAUUAUUGUCUUAUUGUGCGAACCAAGUGUUUUAAAUAUAAAAUGUUAGCUAUCCCGUAGCAACGUAUGGGCACACUACCUAGUCAAGAUAUAAGUGCCUUGGCGACAGUUUUCAGUGAUCAUAUCCUCCUCGCCACCGGUGAAGUGCCGGGCGUCGUCCAGCACCAUCGCGAGCAGGACGCUCAGCAGGUCCCUUGUCCUUAAAUUUCUUUCCUCACUGGCCGUCCUAACACCAGCAGCCUUCUUGUCAGCAAUGAUCCUGUGCAUCAUGUCGUCGAACCGGCCGGCAAUGCAGCUUCUUCAUCUUGGCCACCACGCCCUGCAGAUCCAGCCACCGGAGUGCCGGCACGAUGUCCCCAACGUUGAGAUUCUGCCCACCUGCAUCACCUCCAGCACAACCUCCUCGAUCGAACUCCCUCGCGCCGUCGUCGUCGCCAGUGGCGGCGAACACCAUGCAUGUCAUCUCCGCUGGAUUUGGGUUGGCGGGAGCUGAAGUUAGCGACGUGGGCGCGGCGGAAUUGCUCCGCCACGGCCGCCGACCCGGCCACCACGACGUUGAAGCAGCCGAAGCGCAGGCACAGCAGCGGGCUGUACACCAACCUUCGACAUCUCGUGCAACGUCUGGUGGUGCUUGGCUGCUUGUUGCCACCGUCCAGCUGCGGCAGGUUGCCCAGUGAGGUCCAUUGAGCGAUCGAGCCCAUGCCCAUGCCAAUAGUCCCAUACAUCUGCGGCCCCUCCAGUUCUGUCAAAAAAAAAAAGUGCCAUACAUGCAGUUAUCUGUGCCUUGAUUGUUCCAUGAUUUGGCAGUUAUAUAUAUGACCAUUAGAUGUUCAAGAGAUUAGCUAAAUCAUUUUCUAAAGGCAAAAAAACUUCUCUCUGUAAGAACAUCUCCAAAAAAUUUUGUAAAAUGGAUCUCGAAAAGGGGCCCGCAGGGUCUUCAUAGCAGCCGACCAAGGAGGGUUCCAGCAGACCAUGGCGUACCGCAGCUCGGCCAAAGGUGCAGAUGACAAACCGGCCCGACGACUGCUCUUUCACAACCAACAACUGCAGCUAAUAUAUGGGACUAAAGCUUUGGUUUUUGGUCAUUUCUCUGGAGUUAGUUAUAUAUAUAUAUAUAUAUAUAUGACCAUUGUUGGUUGUGAUAGAGCAGUCGUCUAAAACAUUGCAGCUAAUAAUUUUUUUAUUUGGAAUAAUCUAUGAUCCAAAUAUUUAGUUUGAAGUCCCAGUAUUUUGAAAUUAAAAACUUUUAAAUGACCUCAGAUGGAGAAAUGACAAAUCAAACUGAUGUAGAUCUGAUAGCAAUAUACAACUUCUCUAUUUGAAUUUUUGAUAUUUCAAAAUUCAAUUUUUUCAAAAGACAACAUCAAAUGGAAAAAUGCUGAAAAAUAAAUAUGUAGAACUCAACGAUAUCAACAUCUUUGUAGUUGAAAUAUUUUUCAUUUGAAUUCGUUUAGGAUUCCAAAUAUUCAUUUCUAAAUCCAAUAGUGAAUCCAAAAUGAAUGUAUCUACCCCUUAAACACAAAUGAAUUUCGGUGGAGUGGCUAGGGAAAGGUACCCGCGAGGCUUGAUAUCAUGGAUUCAAAUUGGCUCGGAUUUCUAGCCACUCCUAGAAAACCUUUACUUGUAGGAACAACCAGGUAGAGGAGGCAUAUCAGCCGUCUCAACAAAUCCUGGCUUUGUAUGUGAGACACCGUAAUAAAAUUUCUAAUUUUAAAAAGAUGGCCAUAUUUUACAGUGGUAUCAAUUUAGUCCUUUGUUCAUUGGAUUGAAUCAAUAUUUGGCCAAUUGUUUGAGUAAGCCGUAUAUUGUGGACCAAGUAUGGCAUGACAAGAUGGAACGGUGAUGGUGCUUGGUCUCCUUGCAUUUGAAGUGUUUGGAACAUAAACAUGCAAGCUCCAUUCGUGUCGAGAAGUAUGAUGCCGCUGUUGUUGAUGCCAAACAUGUUUGGGAAGUUAACAUAUCCAAAUUUUCUGCAUAGUUCAGACAAGCAAUUAGUGGCCAUAUGUUGUGUCUAUAUACUAGUACAAUUUCUUUGACUAAGCAGACUACAUAAAACAGAUCUGGACCCGAGUAACGCUGGCUAAUUGUUGUUGUCACUCUCUUGUUUCAUCCUUUUUCUUGUCUGUGUUUCCUUGUCACCUGCUGAGUGCUGGAAAAUAUUACUUUAGUUAUUGGACAGUUCAACAUCACAAGUCUGAAGGCCAUUAUGUGAGACUACUAUACUACCCCUAACAGAUAAAAGACGGCAGGGAUCCACCUUAAAUUACUAAUCAUUUUUUCCUUAUCAAUUACAAGUCUUGAUUGGCACGCCUACAAAUCCAAAACUGACAGGACCUGCACUAAAGAUAAGCAAGGCUUGUCGUGUGUCUUGCAUGGUGACCAAUUUUUUGCGUCAAUAUUUUUUUUUAAAAUGAAGUACUUUAAUAACUCAAGAUAAAUACAUCAAGUUGAUACAACCAUCUAAAGAUCAUUCCUGACCUCAGCAUUAAAGCACACGACCAAUAAAAAGUAAUUUUUUCAAUAAAAACAGUCACCCUGGUGACUAUCAAUCCGUAGACUAGACCGCCAUCCAUGUGCCUGGAUAAAAAUUAAAUUGACCACACGCUCCAAUGUUGCCAUAACGCUAGCUAUGACGAAAUCCUGUGUAUAUAUGCACCUGCUGGAGAAUAAUCCAUAUACAAAGCCAGUGGAUAAUAAAGUAGAUAACCUGCAAAUUAAAGGAGAGUUCAUAUUUUUUUCUGUCAAAAACCAUAUAAUUUCGACAUAGCCACAAAGACCAACACAUGUUGCUGCCGGUCCUAGCAGAAGUAGUUAUAGAAAUAUAGUAUGGAUAGAUGACCAUGUCAACUAGAUUAUGACAUAUUUAUUAUUUGGGUCCAAGAGAUAUCCUAGACUUAAUUUUGAUAUCAAAACUCUAGUAGAGUAUAACACACAUUGAAGAGCUCCAAUAUAGAUAUAGAGAUAUAGUUAGGUAGGUAUUAAGAAAAUAAAGACUGCUAGAAAUAUUUAUUAUUUGGGUCUAAGCUAACUAAGAGGUAUCUGUGACUCAAGAUAUCAAUACAUUAAUUCCAAAUUAACAAGGUGUUCCUCUAUAAAAGCACCUGCAAAGGCUGAAAUAGAUUAGACACAACAAGCUAUAUAUAUAUCGAUCCUCACCUCUUCUCCCUCGCAAAAACUGAAGGAAAACGACAGCAGCAUGACAAGGAUGGUGCACUACUUGAUGGCUACUAUGUUCGUGGUUCUUGUGAUGAUUUAUUCCAACUCUACAUCCUGCCAAGCCAGUAGGCACUCAUACCUUCAUACUUUGAUCUGCUGUCCACUGUCAUAUUUUUAGGCAUUUUCAUAUCAUCAUUUAUUAUUUUAACGACCAGUCUUGUUUUACUGCUAACAUUGCAUUGGGUUGUAUUACUGCAUAUGCAGGCUUGUUCCCUUCGAGUGUGAAGCUGCAGCCACCUUGCUUUGAGCCUCCGACUCACCGCUGUGUGGAUGGCCGCAGCUGCGUAUUUGUUUGCCAGUAUAACGGAAUCAGGACCUAUAGGGCAUUUUGCAAACAUCCUACACAUGCUCAGGAGCCCUAUUUGUGCUGCUGCCCACUAUAGAAUUGAAUGGUGUAAUUAACAAUUAAUGCAUCAAGCAUGUCUGCUGCAAAUUAAAUAAAAUCUGCUCAUCCAUCAUUCCAUCUGUUGUUAGCAAUCUUCUAUCUAUAUGCUGUUUUGUUUCCUACAGCACAAAAAAGUUGAUUCCAUAUGCAGAAAUUCAAGCAGAUACAGCACCCGAGUCCCCCUGGUUGCCCAUAGCUGCUUAUAUUUUUAACUGUUCUUUGCUCAUUACUUAAUUUAGAAAAUAUAAAGUUCUAAAAUGCGGCUGCGUGCAUAUUGAUGACAUUAGUGAUUUAUUCUUUUCCAGGCGCAUGGAUGUGGGAUAGGCAGGAGGUGCAUGUGUGCAUGACGGAGGGAUAUAUAUAUAUAUAUAUAUAUAUAUAUAUAUAUAUAUAUAUAUAUAUAUAUAGAGAGAGAGAGAGAGAGAGAGAGAUAUAAGGACAUAGAUAGUAUAGAUAACCAUGUGAACUAGAUUCUAAUAUUUAUUAUUUGGGUCUGAAAGAUCGAAAUUGAUCUCGACUUGAGAUAUUAAAACAUAGAAAAACAGGACAUUGAAGACAUAGAAACACAUUCCUAAGAAGUUGUUACUCUCUAAAACCACCUGCAAAUGUUGAAUGAAAUUUGCGACAAUUUAGGACAAGAUAUAUCCUCACCCCUACACACUGAACGGACAGACAGACAGAUAUAACUUGCUAAUAUAUCCAUGAGAAGUUUUUGUUCAAUUUCCAUUAGACAUGAUGGAUGCAUCAUUAUUACACCUGCCCAGUCAACGCCGCGGUGGGAAGCAGCACAUCCAUAAAUGGUGACCUUUUUUGCGGUAGGAAUCGUUUCACUAGAGCUUUCACCAGAAUGUCAUGCACAUUUAUUAGAGCGUCAUGUAAACAAAACUAUACUUUUUGCAUGAAACGAAUAGGUGAGAGAACGAUGUAGUUUCAACAUGGUGAAACUCCGCGGACGUUGUUUCCCACGCGGUGAAACGGGAUGAAAUCCCCACUGAGGGCCAGAUCACCAUCUUGUAUGUGAUCUAAUCAUUUUGCAGCAAUGAAAUGCUUUGCUUCGCUUUGGAAACAACCAAGUGAAAUGUUUCAUUACUGGGGUUAUUUCAUAGAUGGUUUUAUUUCAAUCUUGAUGACGUGUUGGUAUGUGAAACCGUGCAGUGACACUAUCCAUUGAGACUGGCCUUAUCAUGCAAAGCACAUAAAUAUUCGCAGAUGAUAUUCGUAUAGUAGUUAUCAUUUGUAGUCCCUCUAUUCUAUAGUAUAGUGUAUUCUAGAAACUUCUAAGACAAAAUAAAAGAAAACAUAAAAGACGCAUGCAACCUCAUUUUGUUUUCUAAUUAGACACUAUAUCAUAAACUUGAUUAAUGGUGAGUGAUUGAUAAAUGGAGAGUAUUUAAUGCAAAAUUGAUUUUAUCCUCUAGAAAGAAUUACUCCAUCCAUACCCAUAAUUCUUGACUUAGGACGUGAUUGUGUUAACCAAGAAGUGAUUAAUUAAGUGUUCAUUUUUCAUGUCUGCCCCUAAUAAAUUAAAUAUGGUUACGAGUACUCUCUGUACAAGAAAAUAAUUCAGCUCAGCUGGCUAGUACUCAGAGGCUAGAGUAUUGGGUUUGAGGUUGCAAACAGGUCCAACAGGAACCCGCGUGGCCAGAACGUCAAGCUUUGUGAAAAAGCUUGAGUUGCUUAGAACGUCAACUAAAACAGGUACAAAGAGAGUAUAUUUGAGAACAAAUUUUAAUGCUAGAAUGCAUUAUAUUACUGGAUGGAUAGAGUAAGUCUCAAGCAAGGUGGCAGCGGCUGACACUAUGGGUUGAAGCCUACACAUCCAAUGCAGCGUAAUAUUAGUCAACAAUUAUUCACCUGAAAGCCCGAAAAUAAUGCAGUGUAGCUAAAAGUAGGGGUGCCCACAUCACUACUAGAUUUUCUGGCUUUUGCCACUAAAAUCUUGGCAACAACAUAAAUUCGGUUGGAAUAGGGGUAGGUGGUAUUGCCGCCAUAUUGAGAGAUAGUAGCAAUAAGUUUAGACUAUUCCCACGAAAACCUUGUGUUCCAAUCAUUCUCAAUUUAGUUGCGAGAUGUAGGUGUUAAGUUAUUGUUGCCGCCGCCAUAUUGGGAAAUGGUUGCAAUUACACAAUACUAUUACCAUGAAAAUCUUGUACAGCGAUAAUCCUUAAUUUUGUUGCAAUAUUUAGGUGCUGUUGCAUGCAACAAUUUUGAGAAAUGGUUGCAAUGUAGUUUGGAAGACGAUAAUGCACGCGAUCGAGCAACGAAAGCUGGGACAUCGCCUGGACCAUGUCACGACGCCGUGGGAUGAGCAGCAUCCGGUCUACCACUGCCAUGGCCUCGGCCUUGUUUGCGGCAGGCGGCGGUGAGCACGUCGAUUUACCGAGUUUGUUAGCUGGUCUAAAAAGUUAUGGCUGAAAAUAUGUUCGCUGGUCUAAAAAGUUAUGGCUGAAAAUACUGUUCGCUGAUUUAUUAUGAGAAAAAUAUUGUUGGCUGAUAGAAAAAAUAUGGCUUAUAAGUGUAUGUAAGAAAGACAUGCAUGCACGUUUAUGUAUAUUAUAUUAUUAUUAUAUCAUUGGAUGCAUUAAUGGAUAGGCAUAAGCUGAUCCAAUACACACAUUAUGCAGGCUGCUGUAUACACCUUGUUACAUUUACGUUCUUAUUUCAAACGUACAGCAGCACCUGGACGGCUUGACGUUACCAUCACAAACUGGUUUAUAGUACCGAUAGCCGUGGGAUUUGGACUUGGCACGGCAUGAAGCAUCGCACAAUGGUGGUUUUGUUUUGUCGUGGCAGUCAUAUGCUACGUCGUUGCACUCCGUCCUGUACUCUGCACGUACACACAUGCAGAAUGCAAUCAGCCAUCACAUAUGCACAUCCGAGAUUUUUAAUAAUUAGUACGAACACGCUAGGCAUGCAUGCAUGCUAAUUUUUCGUGUACCAGCAGCAAAGGUAGACACGAAAAGAGAGGACACGAGCAGCAGACCAACAAACACAGCAGCACCCAUGGAGUGCACGCUGCUGCUGCUGCUGCUUCUUGUGUUGAUGAUGAGUGCCAUUGCUAGUAGCUAGGAUGACUCGAUCUGAGAGUGCUGCCCGAUGCACAAGCUAGCUAUGCCGAUGGUAAUACGGUGCUUAUAUAGAAGCAGGCUGUUAAUGCAUUAGCAUUAUAUUACAGUGUAGACAGAUAUCUCUAUGCUAAGUUAAUGUGACACUAUCUAUCUAUCUAUCUAUCUAUCUAUCUAUCUAUCUAUCUAUCUAUCUAUCUAUCUAUCUAUCUAUCUAUCUAUCUAUCAACCUCUCUGUCUAUCUUUCUUUCAUUCUUUCAUUCUUUUUUCUAUCUAUCUAUCUAUCUAUCUAUCUAUCUAUCUAUCUAUCUAUCUAUCUAUCUAUCUAUCUAUCUAUCUAUCUAUCUAUCUAUUGGUGUUACCGGGACAACACCUUUUAAUCCCGGUUAGUGUUUCCAACCGGGACUAAAGGGUGGGCUUUAGUCCCGGUUAGGGAGACCAACCAGGACUAAAGGUCCCUUCUGCCGAACUCUGACACCAUAGCCGUUGGGCAGGAGACUUUUAGUCCCGGUUGGUCUCACCAACCAGGAGACGUUUUUGUCCUGGACGCUGAUUGAGCCGAGACUAUUGUUCGCUUUGGGAAAGUGACUAAAGGCCUGUUCUAUAUUAGUGUAUCUAUCUAUCAAUUUAUCUAUAUAUUUAUCUAUCUAUCUAUCUUUCUUUCUUUGUUUCUAUCUAUCUAUCUAUCAUCUAUCUAUCUAUCUUUCUUUCUUUCUUUCUUUCUUUCUAUCUAUCUAUCUAUCUAUCUAUCUAUCUAUCUAUCUAUCUAUCUAUCUAUCUAUCUAUCUAUCUAUCUAUCUAUCUAUCUAUCUAUCUAUACCUACCUACCUACCUACCUACCUAUCUAUCUAUCUAUCUAUCACUCACAACUCAAGAGAGGAUUUUUAAUUAGAUAUGGGCAUAUUUGGCCCUAACCAUUGCUUACUAUCUAUAGAGGCGAUUGGCACGUCCACCCCUUAAAUAGAUUAGCCAUUUAAAGUGUUAGGUGUGUUAGAAGGCUGCUACUGCUAAUUGAUUUUCACUGAACCCACGACCUACUACUCAGCAAUAACGCCUGACUACUACUGCCCUACACAUACUAAAUGGUGAGUAAUAUACGAUGUUAUCUUUUUGUCAAUAUUUCUUAAUAUUGUAUUCAAUAAUUUUCCUACAAAAUAAAAUUAAAUAAAAAAGUUUCAACUAUAGAGUUCUAAGUAUUUUAAUCCACCAUUUAUAUUACUAGUAUUAAUUGAUCAUGGACAUAAUACUCUAGAUGGUUUCACUUAGACUUCAUGGUGUCACACCCCAAAAUUUUUUAUUUUGGGUUGUGCAUAGAAAACACUAAAUAAAUAUCAAAUGAAUUUAAUAUUUGUACAAGAUUUGCCAAGUUUAGUUGAGUUAGUGCAAAUUUAGUUAUAGGAAAAUGUGGAUUUCCAAAUUGUUCCAAAUUAAUUUGAUGGUUUUUUUGUUGAUGUGGUAUGAUGCUUGCUCAUUGCUUGACUUUGUGUUAUGAGUGGGUAAAGUUUUAGGGCACAUUUAGUAAGCCGUUUAUCUUUAUGUGGCAUGUCUGUCAUUAAUCAAAUCUCUUCAUUCUCAAUCUUAAUCUUUUUCAUAUGGAGUUGCCCCAGAUCUUAUUCUUCUACUCUAAAUCAUUCCUUUGAGUUUAUCUUCCAUCAACCGACCUAUUAAAACUUCUCAUGAAUUUUUCACCAUUUUUUGAAUUCUUUCUAGCCUUUCUAAAAGCAUAAUUUAAUUUUUAGAUGCUCCUAGAUAUCUUUCCAUGAGCUCUAAAUACAUUAUUUAGGUUCCUCAUGUUCUAAAGUGUCUCUAGGAUUUUCCCCAAAGUUUUGGAGCCUUCGAAGUAUUUUUCGAGGCCUAAAAAUAAAUUAUAGACUUUUCUGGAAUUAUUUUAAUCUUAAAAUUAAUUAAUUCCAAAAAUACUAAAAUAUCUUGUUUUUCUACCGACCUCGAACCCUAAUACUAUGUAUAUGCUAGUGUAGCCCUUGACACGCUGAUUUCGAAAGUACGACCGCUUUUCUCAGCCACCACUCCUAUCGUCCUAGAUUUAAAGCCAAAGUUUCGAAACCUAAAGCUCCGGCGAACCUUCGGCGAGGUUUUCCGAUCAUGUUCUAGCGCCGCCCUUGGCCAGCCAGCCGGCCGCUCUUGGCCCUAGCCGAGGCCCCCUCGUUUACUUGCACGGAGUAGCUCCUAGCUCUGAAUCAUGACCACGUACAGGUGUUCCAAGGUCGAAGACGAAGGUAUUCACAGUUUUGCUGUCCAUCCAAAUCCUCAUCGAUUAAUCGUUUUAACUUCAAUUCAAGUGAUUCAAGUUACAUUAAACUUAUGUUGACGUGCUCGAUGUAGUAGUACAAAUAUUUAUUAUGUAGCUCAAUUCUGAAUUUAUUGAUUUAAAUUUAAUUUAUUUAAUAGCAUUAUAAUUAAAAUCAACCUAGGGUUAUAAUUCCGAUUUUGUUACGUUGCGACCAUACCGACUUUAAGAUACGUGUUAGCAACAAUGUUUGUCAUGCUAUGAGUUUGUAAAUUUAAUUAAUCAUAUUAAUUUUGAUUCAUGCUUAUAUAAUGUCUUAUUGAAUUAAAAGUGACAUAGGUUUAUAAUUUCAAUCUUUAUAAAUAAAUAAGUGUUAAUAUAAUUAAUAAUUACUUAAAUGUUUCUUAAUUAUAGUUGUUUGGUUAAAUAUGAAAUGUGUAACUAAUAUGAUUAAUGAUUACUGUCUUUUAGUUUAUUAAAAGCAACGUAAGUCUAUAUUUCAUAAAUAAAUGUUAAUAUGGUUAGUACCAUGAGAAAGGCCUUUUCAUUAUGACCUACUAAAUUCAAUUUUGAACCAUAAAUGUUCUUGUUUAGCUUUUAUCAUAUAUUCUAGGUUUUCCAAACUAUAAAUAUGGCUUAAAUGAUAUAUAAUUAUUUAUGAUUAAAAUAUAACUAAGUUUUAACUUUGGCUUUGUAAUUAAUCUAAUUUAAUAAUUCUACUUUAGGAUGUUUCUCUAAAAUAUUCAUCACCUUGUUUCACUAAAAUAAAAUAAAUACACCCUAUAAUCUUUUGCCUGUCACUACUACACAAAUACUAACCGCGGCCUAUUAAAAACACGCACAAAUGCGGGCAACAUUUUAAACCGCCUUGGUUAAUAGCCCGGAUUAACCGAGGCGGUUUCCUAAAGUUCAUUAACCAAGGCGGGGAAUGUAACAUAACCGCCUCGGGCGGGCAUUAUAAUACAAACGCCACGGUAAAUCAUUAACCAAGGUGGUUAUUUUACAAGGCCUGCCACCUAAAAUUUGGCCCAGCCUGCUACUGUAUCCGUCCCAGCAAAAGCCCAAAAUCCCAACACAUUGUGGGCUUAUAUAAGAUAGCACAGUUAGGGUUUUUACUCUCACCCACUAAAAUAUUCAUCACCUUGUUGUACUAAAAUAAAAUAAGUACACGUCGUGGUCUUUUGUCUCUCACUACUACACAAAACAUUAACCGCGGCCUUUUAAAAACACGCACAAAGGCGGGCAACAUUUUGAACCGCCUCAGUUAAUAACCUGGAUUAACCGAGGCGGUCAUUUUUUAUUAACCGAGGCGGUUACAGAUAAUCGCCUCCUAAAAUUCAUUAACCAAGGCGGGGAAUGUAACAUAACCGCCUUGGGCGGGCAUUAUAAUACAAACGCUAUGGUAAAUAAUUAACUGAGACGGUUAUUCUAUAAGGCCUGCCACCUAAAUUUUUGCCCAGCCUGCUACUGUAUCCGUCCCAACAAAAGCCCAAAAUCCCAACACAUCGUGGGCUUAUAUAAAAUAGCACAAUUAGGGUUUUCGCUCUCACCCUCUCUCUCACUCUCUCCCAACCCGAGCGCCGCACCAGGAGCUCAUGCCCCUAUCUGUCAUGGUCGCGACUCCUCCCUUCCUUCUUGAAGCAGCGAGUGCGCCACCCUCUCCUCCCCCCUCUCCCCCUCCAAGUACGCCGCCCUGGCCGUCCCCUUCCUCCCUCUCUCAAGCAAAAGAGGCGGUGGUGCUCCUCCAGCAUGGGCGCAGGCAUGAGGACUCAGCUCCUGUGCGGGAGAGGGCGUGGUGGCCGGCAGUACAGCCGAAGGAGGUGGCUGGCCGGUGACUUCCAGCAUGAGAAAGCGCCCUCCCCGGCGAUGGUGUCUAGCGGAAGAGGCACCCAACGACGGUGCGCGAGCAAGGUCCUACGACGACGAGUCCAGAUAUGGACACGGUGCGUCUAGAUCUAGCCACAGUGGGUCCAGAUCCGCCAACAGGGAGGCUGGCUCUGGCUUGAGCGACCAACAACAACGGCUGCCCGUGGAUGGGCUUGGCAGGCCCAUGGAUGGGCGCGGUGGGCCUGUCCAUGUUUUUUUAUUUUUUUUAUUUGAUUAACCGAGGUGGGCAUUUGAACUGCCUCGGUACAGGUUUGAUUUACUGUGACCUUUAGUCCGAGGCGAUUGCAUUGUCUGCCUCGGUUAAUCUAAUUUGCCUGCCUCGGAAAAGAUUUUAGUAGUAGUGUCUUUUUAUAGCCAGCCACGAUAGUUGCAUCCUUUUUAACGAUAGUUAUGAGCGUUUCUUGUGACCUUGUAGCAUUAGCUAUCUAUUAAUAUGCUCUUUUAUCUUGUAUGGUGUGUAUUGUUCUUAGUUGUUUCUAUUUGUUGCUCUUAUGUUUGCCUCUGUGUGGUGCUUGAUGCGAGUAGACGAGAACUGUUUGUGGGCGUUAAAGAUCAGAAGAUGAUAACCGAAAGCUGAUGGUGUGAGUAUUGAGCAAGUGCUUAAGGCAAGUAUAGCUUCGGACUAUUCUUGUUACCAACACACUCGUAAUUAUACAUAUAUCAUAUACAUAUGUCCACCUUGAUGACCUUAGUGAAAUCACAUAUGUUUGAUAUCCUAAAUACCUUGAUACCUUUUUGGAUAUGCAUUGGGGUAGUAUUUACUAGCGCUGAACUUAUAAUCAUGAUCUUGUAACAUGAAUAAUGGAAUAUGCAAUAAACACUAAAAGAUGCCUUUAACAACAUGAACAAGAAGGGUGAAAAGAGCUCUGGCUUUUGCUAGUUCAUCUUGACCCUCCAUAAGGACUUAUCCCUUGGCAAAAUCUGGGAUUUUUUGUACAACUGUGAGGGCUAUAUGGCUCUGACUUUAGCUCAGUAUGAAGAACUUUUCUAGCUUAUUAGAGGUUACCCGUAACGGUGCUAAAGGGAUUUGCCGAUUUGGGUAUAGUGCGGCCUCUGUCCUUAUGUGUAUAGGCUACGCCUCAUUGUGCCAUUCGGAAAGGGGCUCUAUAUUUGCUCGCCGACUGGAAAUCGUGCGGCCCAAACUUGUUAGACGAACUUUAGGCUUCAUAGUGAACCCUGCCGACCUUCCUUGCUACUGGGUUAAGAGGCUGAUCACCUCGGACGAAAUGGUAAAUCAUGACUCACAGUGGAGGUGUACACCUCUAUGUAGAGUUUAAUAAUCUGAUAUACUAGCCGUGCCCACGGGUAUGAGCAACCCGGAAAAUUGAUGAAAUAGAUGGUCACUAAUUAAUGAUGAUAAUGAUAAUAAAUGAUGGAUAAUUAUGUUGUUUAUGAUCAUUCUUUAUUCUUGUAUACAUCGAUCAUGCAUAUGGUUAUAGGAUUAUAUGCUACCUUGAUAUUGUUGGUAUAAAAUGAUAAACAUGCUACAUAUACAUAUACAUAUAGCCAGAACUAGGAGAGAAAAUGAAGUACUUACAUGCAUGCUGUAUGAAUUAAAAAUAUAUAAUUACCUCCUGCGUCACAGGAUGAUAAUUACCUGCUGCGUCACAGAGCUGCUAUUGGCAGGAGUCCAGGGCCCUUCUUCACAUGAUGUGCCAUGGUAUUAGUGACCAAACCAAGAAGUUCUUCUAUUCUUCUGCUUCGAUUUGCAUGCCUUGUGCAUUACACCUUGUAGUGGCCCAACAUAAGGCCUUGUUUAGUUCCACCCAAAAUUCAAAAAAAAAAAUUAAGGUUCCCUACCAUAUCGAAUAUUGCGGCACAUAUACUUCCUCCGUACUUAGAUUAGAUGACGUUGUGAGCUUCCUCCGUACUUUCGGAAAGAUUGACGCCGUAGCUUCCGAAGGGGUCCAAUGGACUGCACUGGCCUUGCCUUUCGAUCGCGGCCGGGCGUCCCAGUCUUCCGCCCGCAAGAAUCAAGCUAACAGCCUCUCGUCCACGCUAACGGACAGGCAUAAGCUAACGGCCUCUCGUCCUCUCGUCCACGCUAACAGACGGGCAUAAGCUAACGGGCAUCUCCAUCGAUCAACGGAACAUGCAGGCCAAGUAAAAAAAAAGGCGCAGGCCAUGGAAUUGAACCCCUUGCCUCGAAAUUAGCCCCGAUAACCAAUAGAGCAGAGAACGUUUCAUGUCUAGAAUACACACGUGCUUCUUUUUAAUAAGGGCAAAACCGAAAGAUUACCCCCUAAUUAAUGACUCCUUAGUAAGCACAAUUAUGUUCUAAACUUUAUGUAUUUCUAGUAUGGAGGGAGUAUGGAGCAUUAAAUAUAGAUAAAAGAAAUAACUAAUUGUACAGUUACCUGUAAUUUGCGAGAUGAAUCUUUUGAACCUAGUUAGUCCAUAAUUAGACAAUAAUUGUCGAAUAUAAACAAAAGUACUACAGUACCCAAUACCAAAAAAUUUCUGCAACUAAACAAGACCUAAUUAUAGGAACACACAAAAAGUAAAACAGUGGAACUGGAUCUCACCUUUACAUGGAUACCGUCAUAACCUUCUAUCGCAACUAAACGAUACCUUAACCUCUUUUGGUUGGAAUGUCAUUUACAAGCAGCGGAAGAUACUUUUUUUGGGUCAAUUUUGGCUACAAACAAAAUAAAAAGUGAGGAUUUGAUUACUGUGAUGAAUGUAUUUUCAGCCCACACAGGACCCGGCGUUGGUCUCGUUAUUCUAGUGGGCCAUACAAAAAACAACGCAGGAUCCAUUGCCCUCGUUCUACUAGGGGCCGUAAUAUAAAACAAGUGCUCAGUACUGUGUCGCUGUGAAAACGUGUCUCCUGCCGCCCUGGACACACGUUGGUCGGGAAGGAUCAGAGUUGGAACCCGCCUAGCCUCAAAACGUCGAUGGCCUGAUCCGUGAACCGAAGCGUGGCAAUCAAUUACACCUGUAAUAGAUAAGUAAGAGAGAGUUAAUCAAUAACAGUUCUAAAUAUAUAGCUCUCUGAGAGCCGAUAAGGAUGGAGUUCGACUAAAGAGUCGAUUCCAGCAUGCAUGCAAAGAUAGCAGUUGAAGCUUACAAUAUUACUAGAACAUCAUGCGCCCUUCGGGCGCCCUAUUAUGACUUUAAAACAAAUGUCCACAUUCGAUAAACAUAUGGCUUUACAUCUAAGCAAAACAUAGAUAUAUAAGCUCUGUUGUAUCCAGUCUAAAAGCAUAGGAAAAAAAAAUUCUUUCCUAGAAUCAAUACUUUGCAAACCCAAAUACUCCAAGUUACAUAUUAAGAUCAAGUACAUCUUACACCAACUUAGCCAUGUUAAUAAACUAAUGGCUAAUUAAAUAAUCACCUUGUGUUUGUACUAAAAAAUUUGUAAAGGAAGCUACUUUGUAUAGUACUCUUCAUAUUUUGACAGCUGCUUAGUUUGGUUGCAAAGAGAAACACAGCAUAAACAUUGGGUAUAAUUGUUUCUAAUAUUAACACCAAAAUCAUGCAUUAGGGAUCACAUAUCAGACUAUUAUAAGAAUAAUAUCAUAUUCCUAAAAUAACUUUGUGCUUGAAUCCUCAUCAAGUCAGUGAGUUACUAAUCUGAUAAUAACAGCCACCACCACCGUCUAAGAAAUGCAUAAACAACUUCUGUAGACCAAUUCAUACCCCUAUAGGUCAGUCACAUUAACCAGCUCGCAGCCACAUCUUCGAAAAUGCAAUACACAGUAGGAAAAAUAUUCUUCCGAGUGUCCAUGAAUGUUAUUUCGACAUGCUAGAAGUAAUGUCUUUGAGAAACCAGGAACGUCAUACACCAGAAUAUAAGCUUCGAAGAAUGUUGCCAACAUUUGCUCUUCAAGUGGAGAGAAUGCUCAGGUUGCCUAUGCAUCCUGGAAAUAAAAUUUCAAGUGAGUUUAUUUGAAGAGUAGACAUCUAUAUCUAUCUACAUAUCCUUUUUGUGCUAAUAUUAUUUAACAGAAACACCACAAAGAUAAAAACAUACACCUUCCAUUUUCUCACUUGUUAUCACAGUCCACAAAUAUGUCCAUGUAAAGGAAAACAACUUUGUAUUCUAGGUGGUAGUAGGAAACUGCCAGGCAAAAAAUAGUACCCCUGCAGAAAAAGGAACUCAAAAUCCGACUUUUUCUUUGUUGGCAAUGCAAAAGUGGUUCAGAAUAAUAUCGCUAUGUGAAUGCAUUCUCUAAUUAAUAAAUCAUUUACUUUUGUUUACCUGAAACAUCUUCCACACAUUCUUCUUCUCAAGGAUAACCCAUGUGUCUAGCAAAUGCUGAAAAAAAAACAGAAAAUUACCCAAGUGAUUUCACCUUAUCACGGGACCCCCUAUCAUAAAAAACAUCAAUACACCAUUUAAACACAUUCCGUCUAGCAUAGUCUAACUGUGUUACUGCAUAUACAUUGUGCCUGAAGGAAUAAAUAUUUAGGCCCCCUUUGGAACACAGGAUAGGAAAAGUAUAGGGAUAUGUUCUCCUAAUCCUGUUGGAUUCAAUAGUACUGGAAAAUAGAUAGGAAGCUCUUUGGUAGCACCACAGGAAAAGCAAACGAAUUUUACACACCAGUUGGAAUUUGAAUAGCUAGCAGUUGCAUUUCGAAAAGGCACAUAGAUAGCAUAUCUCCAAAUUUGCUCAGUCACAAAUGGCAUACAACAACAUAUAUCUGUAUAUGCAUCCAAUCUGAUGAACAAUGUAGCAGAAAAAAAAGAACUUAACAGAAAACAGAGCUGCUGAUAGCAGGGGCAUGUCAGUAGUGUGUAUAGACGAAGUGCACCUCCCAUCAUAGUCUCAUUCAUAGGUCAACACAAAUCUUCCCAAAUCGAAAUAAGAAUAUCCAUUCUCAGAUUAGGGGGGAAGAAAAUGCCUAAGAUAGACAUGAAGCUUACAGAUCUUGGAAGCUAGAGUGGCUGUGGCACACUGCAACCUCGUGGGUUUUGAUUUGGGAUCUUGGUUCAUGAGGAUUGGGGAGGGUGGUGUAACACCCUAAAAUUUGUCUUUUUGAAAUAAAGCUAAAUUAAUUCAAUUUUUUGUAUGGUUGUGC
This 40765-nucleotide long non-coding RNA is filed under the name Sorghum bicolor (sorghum). RNAcentral's name for it is "long non-coding RNA (SBIC_LNC009750)". The record is from RNAcentral. Lineage: Eukaryota; Viridiplantae; Streptophyta; Magnoliopsida; Poales; Poaceae.